Molecule: transfer RNA, 69 nt
Filed under: Desmognathus wrighti (pygmy salamander)
Lineage: Eukaryota; Metazoa; Chordata; Amphibia; Caudata; Plethodontidae
Description: tRNA-His
Rfam family: tRNA
About the family: Transfer RNA (tRNA) molecules are approximately 80 nucleotides in length.
Source: RNAcentral
GUUUAUAUAGUUUAAUUAAAAUACCAGAUUGUGAUUCUGACAAUAAGAAUUAAAGUUUCUUUAUAAACC